Molecule: non-coding RNA, 469 nt
Organism: Pelobates cultripes (western spadefoot toad)
Lineage: Eukaryota; Metazoa; Chordata; Amphibia; Anura; Pelobatidae
Source: the annotation of a GenBank genome assembly
GGUGUGUGUAUCUGAGUGACUGUAUGCCAGUGUGUAUCUGUAUGUAUCUAAGUGUGUGUAUCUGAGUCUGUUUGUGUGUAUCUGAGUGAGUGUGUAUGUGCUAUUGUGUGUAUCUGUAUGUAUCUAAGUGUGUGCAUAUACCAGUAUGUGUAUCUGUGUGUAUUUGAGUGUGUGUGUGUAUCUGUAUGUCAGAAUGUACCUGAGUGUUUGUGUAUGUGCCAGUGUGUGUAACUGUGUAUAUGUGCAAGUGUUUGUCUGCAUGUGUCAGUGUCCGUAUCUGUGUGUCAAGGUGUUUGCAUGAGUCCGUGUAUUUAAUAGUGUGUGUAAAUAGUGUUCUGUCAUAAUAAAAUAUCAUGUCUUUAUUCAUACAUGUUUGGUGGCUGUGUGCAUUUUGGGGUAUGCGUUUUGUGUGUGUGUGUGAACGCCCGUGUGAUGGGGGAGGAGGGGGGGUGCGCGCGUGGGGUGUGCG